UACGGAGGGUGCAAGCGUUGCUCGGAAUUAUUGGGCGUAAAGGGUGCGCAGGCGGCCGGGUGUGUCAGAUGUGAAAUCCCGAGGCUUAACCUCGGAACUGCGUCUGAAACUAUUCGGCUAGAGUACUGGAGAGGGUAACGGAAUUCACGGUGUAGCAGUGAAAUGCGUAGAUAUCGUGAGGAACACCAGAGGCGAAGGCGGUUACCUGGACAGUUACUGACGCUCAGGCACGAAAGCGUGGGGAGCAAAAGGGAUUAGAUACCCUGGUAGU
RNAcentral lists this ribosomal RNA (271 nucleotides) under uncultured bacterium. RNAcentral describes it as "partial 16S ribosomal RNA". It matches the Rfam family "Bacterial small subunit ribosomal RNA", at positions 524 to 794 of the family's 1533-position model. The record is from RNAcentral.